UACCAGCUCUCCGAGUGGUAGGGAUGUUUAUUGGGCUUAAAGCGUCCGUAGCCGGCUUAGCAAGUCUCCUGUUAAAUUCAGCGACCUAAUCGUUGAGCCGCGGGAGAUACUACUAGGCUAGGAGGCGGGAGAGGUCAACGGUACUUCCGGGGUAGGGGUGAAAUCCUAUAAUCCCGGGAGGACCACCAGUGGCGAAGGCUGUUGACUAGAACGCGCUCGACGGUGAGGGACGAAACCUGGGGGAGCGAACCGGAUUAGAUACCCGGGUAGUCCCAGCUGUAAACGAUGCGAGCUAGGUGUUGGGGUGGCUACGUGCCACUUCAGUGCCGCAGGGAAGCCAUUAAGCUCGCCGCCUGGGGAGUACGGCCGCAAGGCUGAAACUUAAAGGAAUUGGCGGGGGAGCACCACAAGGCGUGAAGCUUGCGGUUC
RNAcentral lists this ribosomal RNA (429 nucleotides) under uncultured archaeon. RNAcentral's name for it is "bacterial SSU rRNA". It matches the Rfam family "Archaeal small subunit ribosomal RNA", at positions 474 to 903 of the family's 1478-position model. The record is from RNAcentral.